GUGUUACUUUAAACUAGUGGUGCGGUUUAAAUUAGGCUACAGUGCAACUGACAAGUGAUGAUCUAAAUCAGAACCAAAACUUCUUAGAUCAGGCAAGAACAAAGAUGUGUGUGAACACUGUGUUUUCCAUGCUGUGUUUGGAGGUGGAGCAAAUAAAGGAGCACUAAAGGGACGGUCAGGGUUGCAGUGUAUAGCUGACCCGGAAUCCCUGAGUACAAGAGAGGAAUACCCCAUGAGCAGUGCACCAGUCCAUCGCAUGGUACCACACACAAGCAUUCACUCACACAUUCACUCCUAGGGGCAAUUUAGCACAGUGAAUUCAUCUGCUGAGUGUAUUUUUGGGAGGCAUGAGGAAACCGGAAUACCCACAGGAAACCCGCUCAUACACAGGGAGAACAUACCAAAUUCCUUAUCAACAGAGACCAGAGUGGGGAUUAAACCCACAACCCUGGGCUCCUGCAGCUGUGCAGCACGCAAGAUACCUGCAGCAUCACAGUGUUACCCCAUAUCCUGAAAAAAUAAAUAAAUAAAAAUAGUAAUAAUCUUCACACACUUCUGUCUUAUAUAUUAAAUUACUGAGUGCAUGUAAAUACACUCACUGAUAGUUGUAACUCACCAUCUAUUUGCAUACUGGGUGCAUCUUCCCUCCUCACCCACCAUCAGUGUGGUCAUUUCCCCCUAGGUUAGCUUGUGAUUUAUAUUUUGGUGUCAUUGGUUGGCCCUCAGUGUUAAAGUUUGUUUUAAAUCUCUCAGCUGCUGAGCAUGAAUUUAUUUUGGCUGAACUCUGUGGUGGCAGCUGAUGCAGAAUUAUGUUAUUACCAUAUGUUAAAAAGGUGGUUGUUAUUAUUGCCGCUAUUAAAAUAUUAAAAUAUGUAUUGAUGGGGGCUCCAAGUGGUCCAGCGGGCUAAGGGCUGCCACUAUGAUCAGGAGAUCGUCAGUUUUAAUCCUGUUCGUGUAGCUUGCCAUCGGCUACAGGACUCCUGAGAAAGCACAAUUAGCCUUGCUCUCUUUGGAUGGGUAGAUGGUGCCCUUUUUCCCCACAUCACUUCUAGGGUGAUGUGGAUCAGCACAAGGCGUCUGUGAGCUGAUGUAUCAAAACCGAGUAGCUGGGCUUACCUCCGAGCGCGUUGUGAUGCUACUCAGCAAUGCUACAUCAGCAGUUUGAAAAAAGGCGGUGGCUGACUUUACAUGUAUUGGAGGAGGCAUGUGCUAGUCUUCACCCUCCUGGUGUUGGGGACUCCUACUGAGUUUGUUAGGUAAUUGGCUUUGUAAAUUAGAGAGAAAAUGAAAAAAAAAAUUAUAUGCUGUAUUGGUUUAAAUUGUUUUUC
Astyanax mexicanus (Mexican tetra) is the source of this 1328-nucleotide long non-coding RNA. RefSeq lists it as uncharacterized. The transcript is spliced from 3 exons. The record is from RefSeq and is a predicted model, not a curated record. NCBI's taxonomy places the organism in Eukaryota, Metazoa, Chordata, Actinopteri, Characiformes, Acestrorhamphidae.